Molecule: long non-coding RNA, 2396 nt
Organism: Numida meleagris (helmeted guineafowl)
Lineage: Eukaryota; Metazoa; Chordata; Aves; Galliformes; Numididae
Exons: 3
Source: RefSeq, a predicted model, not a curated record
UUUGCAGACCUCAUUUUAGAGUUGGCAGUGGAGGCAAGGGUCUUUUGCUGGAGUUCCCUGGGUACCUGUGGCCUCCUCAAGAGCUACCUUCUCAAUGGACCCUGUGAACCACGCCUUGACCAAUGCCCGUGACCAGUGCUCCGUGAAGAGUUCUCACUGCGUGUUCCCAGUGUGCCCUGGAAUCAGCUCUGAGUACAGGACAGCUUGCUGAGGUUCUUUAUCUUCUCUCCUUGGACAAAGGUGUAGUAGCACGCAGGCUCUGCUAUAGGAAAUGGAGUGAUCAUACAGCUCUCUUCACUUCUCCUGGGUUUCCUAAGAUGAUUCAGUGGACUAAAAGGUUACUGCAGUAACAAUAGCCAUAUAUAAUAACACACACUUAUUUGUGCAGGUAGUAUAUUUAUACAAGUCUUAUUUUGAUAAGAAAGUCAUUCUUCCCAAGUGGUAAAACUAAUUUGAACUUUCUGUAAAAGAGCUCAGUGUAAAAGUUUUCAUAAGACUCUGCUACUCACUUUAUCAAUGAAAAACUUUUCUGCAACUAAAUAUGAUAUGUGUUUAGGGAAGAUGGUAGCUUAAAUAUCCAUCAGAAAUAAAAUACAUGGAAAGUUCUUAUGAACAAUUUGUAUUUUCCAGAAGUGAUAUCUAGUCUCUCACUUGAAAUAAUCUAGUGAAUGAGAUAGGACUCUGAUGCAAUUACUCAUACAGGCACUAAUGGUAUAUGAAUGUGUGCACAUAUCCACAUCUAGAGGGGUCCAAAAAAGGCAGCAUAGAAAAAAGAACGUGGGAGAUUUGCUGUAGUGAACUGUAGAUUGAUCAUUCUUUUCAAAAGCUGUCCUUUUAUUGAUGCUUGAUUUAAACCCGCUGUAUCUUUAUCGAGAUCUUCUGUCAAGGUUUGAGAUCUUUGUCUUUACACUUUUUACUUUAUUUUUAUUGAUAUAUAUCAUUUUAUCUAGUAUCUGAGCACAGAUUCCUUAGUUGUAAGUGACAAGUAUCUUAUUUGUAUUUCAUCCCUUAGGGAAGGAAGACUCUUUUAUUGCAGUCUCCCUAACCAUAGUAUUUCCCUUUUUCCACAAAUUUGCUCAGAGUCAGAAAUCACCUGCAGUUCAAGAAUACCCUGAUGCAUAUCCAGAGCUUAAAUAUUCCUGUAGAUAUCAGAGUAAUAUGCAAAUUUCAAGUAGCUUCUAUCUCAAAAUGAGAAUUGUCAUUUAUAAUUCCUCUCAUGAUUGUGAGAAUUAUCUUUAUCGGUGGGCUGAAAUGAGCAGUGGUUGCAUUCAGAAGUGUGAACACCUCAAAGGACACUGAAAAAGAGGGCCGUGUGUGUAUAUAUAUGUGUGUGUAUCUCAAGUGCUCUUUAUGACGGCAAAGGAAAAGGGAAUAAUGUCAGCAUCAAGAAUCUCGUAAGUUUGCACAACCUGAGUCUCUUAUAUCCUCACAGACUUGUAAGUUCUAAAAGGAGUAUAAAAUCUACCUACUCUAUUCAAACUGUUCUAAGUGGGAGGUGAAGAAAAAGUCUCCUUAUCCUAAAAAUUGAGUUGAACUCUGAGUGUAAAAAGGCAUGCAAACAAAUGCUGUUAAGCUCAAGCAGAAGAAGGGCAGACAUCCACAGCUGUUUAUACAAAGCCACAUAGUGAAAUAGGGUUUGUCUGUUAAAACCUAGAAAUUCCCAAUGAAGCUUUCAGUCCAUUCAGUGAAAUAAAGACCUGCAUUUCAGCUUCCUCCUAAGGCAAUGUAAAUGCCAAGCUCUUUAGAAGAUUUAGUAAGAGGAGAAAGGAAAUUCUUAAGGAGCCUUACUCAUUUCCUUUCUUUUGAAACUCAGGAGGUAUCUUUUCACUGUUGAAGCUGUAGAAGGAAAACAUGAUGUUGUAAAUUCUGUAUCCACGUUUCUUAUUAUGGUGCAGGCCUGUAAAGACUCCUGCGUGUACUAGGUGGCUUUAUCACUGACUGCUACUAGUUCUCUUUAACUGGACUAUAAACAGUUAAAUCUUGAAGAAAUGCUGUCAGCUGCUGUUAAUUUUUUAAAACUGCAUAUAUGCAAAACUGUGUUUACUUCCUAAGUGGAUCUGUCCACAGGUAGCUUUUAGUUUAGUAGUGUUCCAUGUCAUAUACCUACAAAAAAUAAGAAAAAGUAGUAUAUAAUAUUACACUGUAAUGUUUAAUCUUUUAAUGUACUACCCAUAAUGUCCUGAAAUCUUUUGGUUUGUCUGUGUUCUUCUUUGAAACUACUUCUAGCUGAGCCUUUGUGAUAUUACCCCGUCUCCAGGCUCAUCAUGACUAUGCAUUCUGUCAAUAAACUGCAAGAACAAUUUAGCAGUCCACAAACUAAAACUAUUAAAUUAAUUCAUUUGUUCUGCUUCUCUAUAUUUUUUGACACUAUUGUAAUCAGUUUUACACAGCUUUGA